UUCGUUUUUAUUUUUAUUUUUUUCUCCCUUUCAGAUAAGAGGGCCUGGUAAUAUCUUUUUGGAGAUCAUAUCAUAUCAGAAGCGAGCAUGAGAUACCUAUCAAAUAGUCCGCAUCUUUAUGUACUCACAAGAACACUUUUCUUUCGCCAGCUCUCUUGCUUUGGCAUUUUGUGUGGUUUAGUUCUUCAACAUUAUAAUCCAGAAUUACCCCUUUCUUUGGCCUGUUAUUACAUCCAUGUGCUUGUGUUUUUUAUACUAUUUCUUAACGUCUUAUUAUUAGUUACUGCAGAAAUCUGCUUUAUUAUUUGAUUGCAUUGGGCGGUUUUCCUAUCUGCCAGAUAUGCAUCUAUCUUUCUUUCUUAUGUCAUUCUGAUUGUACAGGGUCGGUUGUGAAAAUGAUCACCCUUGUUAAUUGCCAUCUUUCAUUCUGAUUGCACUGAGUGGGUUUCAAAAACUUGUCACCCUUCCUUUCUGCCAUAUACUCAAUAUUCAUCUCUCAAUUCUUUCAUAAUUCCUGCUUUUCCCUGAUUUAGUUUUGAAACUUGCUUGUAGGCUAACAGAGGCCUCGGACUUACUGCUAUCAUUAUUGAUCACUGUAAACUGGUACUCAAGUUCCCUCAAGGAACUAAUAGCACCUGGGUUCGUGUCUCUUCUUCACUAACAUCUUCACAUCUACAUUUUUACAAUAUUGGCUGAACCUUGAAACACCCCACCCCCCCCCAACCCAAAAAAAAAUGAAAAACAGAAAUUCUUCAUCACAAUUGCAUUACAUUUUCUUUGCAGUAUAAUGAACAAUUUAAGAUCUUUGAACCCUUGGAGUAUACUUAUGACACCUGUGAAGCCCUUCUUCUGUGGGAACAGGUUUCUACUGACCUAUUCACUCUUUAUUCUUUAGGCUAGCCACUUCAACAAUCACAAACUGAACUAACUAUCUGAAAUGCAGUAUCGGAAUAUGACUACUGUGUUAACAAGAGAAUACCUGGAUGCUCGUCCUGAUGGCUGGUUAGACUAUGCAGCUAAAAGAAUAGCACAGCUGUAUGUUCUUUUCAACACAAUUUGCAGUUUCUUUUUUUCCUUUCUGUAUAUGAUGACCUCAAAACUUUAAAUAUUCCUUUUCCUGGUCUUGUUUUGUUAACUGCCUUUUGCCGCAGAGGUGCAGACAAGUGCUACAAUAGGACUCUCUGCGAGGAGCAUCUUAAUCUACUUUUACCAGCAAAGCCUCCCUUUCACCCUCGUCAGUUUGCAACCUGUGCCGUUGUUGGAAAUUCGGGAGAUCUAUUGAAGACUGAGUUUGGUGAGGAAAUUGAUAGUCAUGAUGCUGUUAUACGAGACAAUGAGGCACCUGUAAAUGAGGUACUUCCAGAUUUCCUUAUAAUUUUUGUUUUUGGGGUUAGCCAGAGGUAUAAAUUGUUAGAUUUUCCUUUUUAACUUAUCAGAGUACAUGCAAUAAGAUUGUGUAGCAGAGGUGAAUCAUCGUAUACCAUGAUUCACCUGGUGAUCCACUGCCUUUCUGGUUUGUCUUUGUAUUCUUGAAUGUAUAGUUUUAACAAUACUGAUGACAAUUGAUGGAGCUGACCUUAGAAAAGUUAAAACUGAGAUGCAUUUCCAUGCUUCUGUAGUGAACUUCACAUAUCAUGAAAUGUCUUAGCUUCUUGUCAAAAUUGAAGUAAGGUUCAGAUUCAUCUAAGGGGUUGCUGCCGAGGGGAACUUUCUUAUGCUUAACUGAGUUACUAAAAAAAAAGACAAAGAUGCCGUCAUGCAUGUUUGGUAGCUUUAAUUAGGUUAAGUGACCAGUAUAGAUAGAGGGAAUUAACCAAUAAUUUUAGGUACUCUUAUCAUGUACGUGUAUUUCUGGGAUUUCUUUUCAGACUUUGUCCUUUUAUACUUUUCCAGAAAUAUGCCAAGUAUGUUGGACUGAAAAGGGAUUUUCGGUUGGUAGUAAGGGGUGCUGCUCGUAAUAUGGUUACAAUCCUAAAUGGAUCAGGUAAAUUUUUUUUUUUUUUGGGUGCCCUGUACAGUUCCUUGACUUGGCACAAUUAUUUUCUUUGUGCUGGUCUCUGCAUGGUGAUGGCUAGGCUGCAUCUAGCUUCAAGUUCUUACAGUUUUUGAUGUAAAACAUUUGGUUCCUCACCUUCUGCCGAAUGCAUAAUUUGUCCUUUCUUUGUCAAUUUUAUUUGUCAAUUUUCUUAGAUUGUUUCUUCUCAGAUCUCUUGAUAUUGUAAUGAGACUAUGCACUGAGUUCUUUUAUGAUGAUCACUCAAGCAAUAAUGACUUGUUUAAAUUUUUGUUGAUAAAAAAAAAAUGUGUUCAAAACCUUUUAACUUCUUUAUUAGUUUCUGUAGAGUGUGGCAUUGAUCUUUCAGUUUUCUCAAGAUCAAAAGGAAGCAGAAUAUUGGCAGUGUCAUGAUAAGCAUCAGUCAUCAGCACUUAAACUUUUUCCUUGGUUCUUUGUUGCAGUUGACGAAGUACUCAUUAUCAAAAGUGUCACUCAUAGAGAUUUCAAUGCAAUGAUAAAGGUACUUUUUAUUAUAGGAUGCCUUGUGAUUAUCUUUUCCCUUCGCUGUUGCAGCCGACCUAGCUCUAAUUAUCAAAAGUCUAACUCAUAGAGAUUUCAAUGCAAUGAUAAGGUACUUUGUUGAAUGCCUUGUGUUUAUCCUUUCAAAGAUAAAGUGCAAUUUAUGAGCUUUGAGAAUAGGAUUUCAGUCCCAAUGAUUAAGAUGAUGAAAUUAUCUACUAAAGGACUUCUUGGAAUAAAUUACAAAUUCAGAACACAGUAUUGAAUUCAAGAAUAAUAUAGAAAUUAACCUGGAUGGCCCUGGUGAGCUCAUUAGAACACUAGGAGAUUAUUAUUUUGGGAUAAAAGUGUGUCACCUCUGUGAUAACAUUUAAUUCUUGUCGAACUAAGAUGGAAACGCUAUUUACAAGGAGGACAAGGCUAUCAUGAUAAAAUCAGGGGACUACUUACUAAGCAUUCCAAUCAGCAUUUAGUUACCGUAUGUACACUAUCUAUUUGUUGUUAGAAAAAAAAAUUUCUUUUGGAGUUGACAUGCAAAGUAAAUGAGCCAGGAUUAUACCUUCACAAUUUUGUUGUAGGGCAUCCCAAAUCCUGUGUAUCUCUUCCAAGGUAUUGUCCUGCGGCGGGGUGCCAAGGGAACUGGAAUGAAAUCAAUAGAAUUGGCACUUUCGAUGUGUGAUGAUGUCGACAUAUAUGGUUUCACUGUAGAUCCUGGCUACACGGAAUGGUCAGUCUUUGCUUAUAUUCUUCAGAGGUCGAAAAAACAUUUAUGGUCAUUUUGUGAAUAUAUGCAGCCACUAAACACCCCCCCCCCCCCCAAAAAAAAAAAAAAAAAAGAGAAAAGGAAAAAAUCCAAUAACUCAAAAAUCACCAUUUUUCAGGACCAGGUACUUUUCUGAGCCCAAGAAAGGGCAUAAUCCACUUCAGGGAAGAGCAUACUAUCAACUCCUAGAGUGUCUUGGUGUAAGUAAUAACUUGCUUGUUUUGAUUUUCCGAGAUUGAUUGUUUUGGGUACAUUCACCAAUACAAUACUAUUCACCGUUCAGGUUAUUAGGAUCCAUUCUCCCAUGAGAUCAAAAAGAAAGCAAAACUGGUCUGAUGUUCCAAGCCGAGAAACAAUACAGAGGGCUCAUAUGGCAGCAUUGCGCUUGAAGAGGAUUUUAUCUGGCCAAGAAGGUGCAUUUGGGCAAUUUGGCAGUUGUAAGGUAUGGGGCGAUGCAGGUAGCUACAGCAGGGGCCCUGUAUCUGGAUCUCCAGACAUGAGUCGUGUAAGGAAAAAUUCAAAUUACAGCAAAUGGGAAGUUAUGCCUUUCAAUAGUUUAAGACAAGAAGCACGGGAUCAUUUUAUGCAGAUGCAUGGGGUCUCUCUGUACAAAAUGGAUGGGAACAAAUUGGAAGAUUUGGUGUGUGUCAGACAUUCUUUGAGUUCUGAUUGAUGAUUGAGAAAAUACACGGGGCUGUCUGAGAGUCAUGCAUCUGUAUGUUUGAAAAGCCUGAUCAUCCUGGUUUUUGGUCAAAUGAUUUAUAUUGGCUCAGGUACUUAUACAAAUG
Molecule: long non-coding RNA, 4066 nt
Filed under: Coffea arabica (coffee)
Lineage: Eukaryota; Viridiplantae; Streptophyta; Magnoliopsida; Gentianales; Rubiaceae
Description: long non-coding RNA (CARA_LNC008283)
Source: RNAcentral